RNAcentral lists this ribosomal RNA (375 nucleotides) under unidentified archaeon. RNAcentral describes it as "bacterial SSU rRNA". It matches the Rfam family "Archaeal small subunit ribosomal RNA", at positions 90 to 467 of the family's 1478-position model. The record is from RNAcentral.
UCAGUAACACGUAGUCAACAUGCCCAGAGGACGUGGAUAACCUCGGGAAACUGAGGAUAAACCGCGAUAGGUCAUGAUUUCUGGAAUGGUUUAUGGCUGAAAUCUAUAUGGCCUCUGGAUUGGACUGCGGCCGAUCAGGCUGUUGGUGAGGUAAUGGCCCACCAAACCUGUAACCGGUACGGGCUCUGAGAGGAGGAGCCCGGAGAUGGGCACUGAGACAAGGGCCCAGGCCCUAUGGGGCGCAGCAGGCGCGAAAUCUCUGCAAUAGGCGAAAGCUUGACAGAGUUACUCUGAGUGAUUCCCGCUAAGGGGAUCUUUUGGCACCUCUAAAAAUGGUGCAGAAUAAGGGGUGGGCAAGUCUGGUGCCAGCAGCCG